UUUGCCUUGUCCCAUGGCACCGAACCAAACUUGUGCUUGUAUGAUCUAUUAAAAAUAAAUAAUUGGAAGUGCAAGAAAAAAAAAAUUAUGCAAGAAAAUAUAAACAAUUUUGAAAUGCAAGAAAAAAAAAAAGAUUAUGCAAGAAAAUAUAGACAAAUUGGAAAUGUAAAAAAAAAAAAAAAAAGAUUAUGCAAGAAAAAGAAAUAGAAUAUGCAACAAUAAUAAAAAAGUUACAUUAAAUUGAUUAAAAUGACAAUUAUAAAUAUUUUACCUCAUCGGAUAGAUUUUGACCGUUUCGAAUGUUCUCCCUUGCUUUUGUCAAGGCAUUUCUUCAUUUCCCUAACUCUCAAUUCAUAAUUUUCCAUCUACUAGACAAGGCCAUUUCGGUCCGAAUGGAACCCGAUAUUUGACAAAAUUCUCCAUGAAUUUUGCUCCACAUAUGAGAGAACUUCAUCUCAUUGCCCGUGAUAGGGAAAUGACUAACGUUCACCCAAGACUGACACAACACAAUAUCUUCCAGAGUUG
Molecule: long non-coding RNA, 525 nt
Filed under: Prunus persica (peach)
Lineage: Eukaryota; Viridiplantae; Streptophyta; Magnoliopsida; Rosales; Rosaceae
Description: long non-coding RNA (PPER_LNC007774)
Source: RNAcentral